CCCCUAGAUGUUCUGGGCCGCACGCGCGCUACACUGAACAGUUCAACAAGUCUUAACCUUGGCCGAUAGGUCUGGGUAAUCUUUGAACGCUGUUCGUGAUUGGGAUAGACCUUUGCAAUUAUGGGUCUUCAACGAGGAAUUCCUAGUAAACGCAAGUCAUCAGCUUGCAUUGAUUACGUCCCUGCCCUUUGUACACACCGCCCGUCGCUCCUACCGAUUGAAUGGUCCGGUGAAGCGCUCGGACCGCGGCCUCUUGACGGUUCGCUGUCGAUUGGCUGUGGGAAGUUCGUUAAACCUUAUCAUUUAGAGGAAGGAGAAGUCGUAACA
RNAcentral lists this ribosomal RNA (327 nucleotides) under uncultured eukaryote. RNAcentral's name for it is "partial 18S ribosomal RNA". It matches the Rfam family "Eukaryotic small subunit ribosomal RNA", at positions 1470 to 1796 of the family's 1831-position model. The record is from RNAcentral.